Molecule: non-coding RNA, 1298 nt
Organism: Centropristis striata (black sea bass)
Lineage: Eukaryota; Metazoa; Chordata; Actinopteri; Perciformes; Serranidae
Source: the annotation of a RefSeq genome assembly
AACUACCUGCAAAUAAAAUAACAAAAGACAACAUGAUCAUUCUAUUCCUUAGCAUCCAUUUAAACGCUAUACUAGUUUCAGGUUCCUCUCUCAGUGACCAAGUCUUCCAGACUCCAGCGGACAUUUACAACAAACCAGGAGAAACAGCCAAAAUCAGAUGUUCACACACCAUUGAAAGCUACAACCAAAUCUUCUGGUACAAACAGUCAAAAAAACAGCUAUUGCUCCUGGGAUAUGUAUAUAUUGACAAUGCAUUACCCGAGAAGGAAGUGGAUGUGAAGAUGGAAGGAAGUGCAAAUAAAGACCAAAACUGCACAUUAAUAAUUGAAGGACUCAAGCUGAACAGCAGUGCAGUGUACUUCUGUGCUGCUAGUUACACAGGCACAGAGGCUUACUUUGGUGGAGGAACAAAGUUAACUGUUAUAGGAAAAGACAUCACAGCACCAACAGUCAAAGUGCUUCGACCUUCAGCUAAGGAGUGUCGAAGCGGUAAAGACAGCACAACAAAGAAGACCAUCGUUUGUGUGGCCAGUGGAUUCUACCCAGACCAUGUCACUGUUCAGUGGACGGACGGGGCCGGGACAGAGAUCUCCUCUGGUGUGGCGACUGACAGCGCUGCCCUGCGAGGAGUUGAUGGGUUUUACACAAUCACCAGCAGGCUGAAGGUCUAUGGCACAGAAUGGUUCAAUCCAGAGAAUAAAUUCACCUGCACUGUCAGCUUCUACAACGGGGCAGACACUAAAGAUUAUUCAGACUCAUUGUAUGGGGAUGAAGCUAAAGGAACAGUCAUGACGAGAGAGAAAUAUCUGAGGAAGACACAGACCGCCAAACUCGCCUACGGGGUUUUAAUCGUCAAGAGCUGCAUCUACGGAGCCUUUGUGGUGUUUCUGGUGUGGAGACUUCAGAAGUCACCUGGAAAGCGGAACUGAGAGCCGAGGACAGAACUUUUCUGGCUUCUGUAAAUAAAGAUUUAAAACAUUGAGGUUAUAUAUCAACUUUAUUUGCUGCAGUGCAUUUUCAUUCUGCUAAAACAGAUGCAAACAUCCAUGCAUAUUCUUUGUUAAAAGGUAUAACUGGCAUGCAUAUACUUUGGCUUCACAUUUUUAUAAAAAUGUAUGAAAGAAAUUCUGUAUUUGUGUUCAUAAAUUGCUUGUUUGCUUAAUUUUCUUCUCAAUAAAAGUGUUUCAGAGGAUCAAAUCAAUCAUGUGUUUUAAAUUCUCUGUUAAAAAAGUUAUAACAUCUCCAGACACUAAAACAUUAUUUACACUUAGUAUAUAGCGUUGAAACUUGCAUGGAUU